Molecule: RNA transcript, 1086 nt
Organism: Ananas comosus (pineapple)
Lineage: Eukaryota; Viridiplantae; Streptophyta; Magnoliopsida; Poales; Bromeliaceae
Exons: 3
Source: RefSeq, a predicted model, not a curated record
GAAAACAGCUCAUGCUUAAAUAAAUGAAAAGAUUUAGCGCACCCCAAACUCUGUCCAGGAUUGGUUUUCAAAUUACAUUGUUCGGUCCAAUGAGCCCCCGCUGGUUUAGAAAUUUUUUUUUUUUUUUUUUUCCUUUUUUUUUGCUUUGGCCCAGUCCUAGUCCACUAUGAAGAAUAGAAAUGAAAAGCUUUCAAUUGAUCAUCAUCUCUUUGUUUUCUUUGCUUACUUUAAUCUAAGCAUGGUUUGUCGAGUUAGCUGAUCAGUGGAUUGAGAUUCAAUAAUUUGAAGAGAGCUUUCGAUCUCUUCUCCUCUAAUAUCUCGUGUUCAUUCAGAUCAUCACAGGAGGUUGCAAAUAUCAAGGUUCUCAUAUAUGUCCCCAGCUGCUGUUCAAUGCAUACAAUCAAAUCAAGUAUCCCCGUUUAAACUGGCGCCAAAAUUUGGCACGGCAAUGGCCAACAUAUAUGGCUUGUUCAACGCAUCCCACUUUAACGCCUUUGUUUUCUCUCUCUCCGUCGGCAAGUUCUAUUUCCAUGCCCCUCUCGGGCGUCAAUGCCUAUUUUCCUUUCCCAUCAUCUUCUAAUUUCAUGCCUUUUGUGCCGUCGCCACAAGUCUUGACCCCUAUGGUAACUACAGCUGCAUGCUGUAAACCAAGAUGCGCCAGAAAGUCCAACAAGAGAUGUAGAGAAAGGUAUUCGAGACAAUUUACAAGUCGAAGAGGUGCCUCAGGCAGGAUAAUAGCAGGAGAGCUUCGAGCCUCGUGUGUUUAUGAAGUUAUUCAUUGUCACUAAGAUAGAUCGGACUUUCGCAAGUCUGCGCCCUUCAUCUCCAACAACUUCCUAGCAACAACCUCGGCAAUCAUGAUCUAUCUUGCAUGGGAAAAUUGGAGCUGAAAUCUGGGCGGUCUCACGGAUGCAUCGAUGAAACUACUAUUUAGUCUACUAAACGGCUUUUUUCUGUUAUGUCAUUGUGAUGUGGUUAAUGGUUGCAGGCUAAAGUGGCUCACUUUGUGGGUAUCCAAUGCAUGUACGGAUGUUAACUAACAUAUAUUGCAGGACUCUGUGUUUGUGUAAGCCGCUUUAAAUUGCA